RNAcentral lists this ribosomal RNA (2331 nucleotides) under Triticum aestivum (bread wheat). RNAcentral's name for it is "partial small subunit ribosomal RNA". The record is from RNAcentral. Lineage: Eukaryota; Viridiplantae; Streptophyta; Magnoliopsida; Poales; Poaceae.
AUGGCUGGCCGGCUGGCCGGCCGGCCGGCCGACUACUUCUGUAUAGGUUUAUAUUCUGUGGUGCAGCAAAGCACUAGCCAGACCCAAGCCAUCAUGAAGCACUUCCUACUCUCUUGCACCUAUCUCCUACUCUGUGCCAUCGUCACACCGGUGAGCGCCGGCAUUCGGCGUGAAGCUGAAGCUCUUCUGAGUUGGAAGGCCAGUUUGGCCGGUGCCAAUGAGUCCCUAAGCUCAUGGUCAUUGGCCAACUCCACCGGCAUCUGCCACUGGAUGUACAUCAGUUGCAACUCUGCCAGGAGCACCAUCGUCAACCUCAACAUCAGCGGUGCGAGUCUGAAUGGCACACUUGACAAGUUCAACUUCUCAGCUUUCCCCAACCUGAAGAAGCUCAUCCUAUUUCAGAACGGUCUGUAUGGCAACAUUCCAGAAGGGAUCAGUAACCUGACAAGCCUGGUGCAGUUGCAGAUCAGCAGCAACUGGUAUGUAACUGGUACAAUUCCCCGUGGCAUUGGCCGGCUGAAGCAGCUCACUGAACUGCAACUGGGAGGUUUGGGUCUUGAUGGUGCGGCGCUACCUGAAGAGAUUGGUAACUUGACAAGCUUGACGAAGAUUGCUCUCUACUCAAUCAAUUUGACUGGAUCAAUCCCGCUAACAUUCGGGAGACUGAAGAAGCUCCGGCUGCUGAACCUGAGAAACAACAGUCUGACAGGGCACAUCCCGCUGGAGAUUGGUAACAUGACAGAAUUACACCGCAUGGACCUGACGCAGAACUAUUUACAUGGCCAGAUACCAGAUACAGUCUCUCGUUUGGUAAAGCUAAACCGCUUGUUACUGUCAGAAAAUCAGCUCGGAGGCGACGUCAUCCACGAGCUCGGAAAUAGCAGCAUGCUGUCUUAUAUCAACAUGGCAAAAAAUAGCUUCUCUGGGGUCUUCCCGCCGUCCAUUUGCGCGGGAGGGGCACUGGUUACGGUCCUUGCUGCAUACAAUGGAUUUACAAGCCUUCGCAGCAUGACCUUUCAGAACUGCACGACCCUGGAGCACAUUGACUUCACAGAAAACAAAAUUGUUGCAGACCUAAUGGCUUGUUUUGGAAAGCCUCCAGAACAACUUCGGGGGCUAACUGUCAGUAAUAACCAUCUGUAUGGCACACUUCUGACAGAUGAUGGUGAGGUAUUCCUCUGCAACUCUACUAGGUUAUCACUUCUGGACCUCUCAAACAAUGCCUUAAAUGGAGACCUAUCCAACUCCAAGUGUUUAUGGAACAUGCGGCAUUUGGAGUUCAUGGAUUUGUCCAGCAACUCGCUCAGUGGUGUAGUUCCGUUCUUGGCGACGCCUAACCGGAAUCUUCAGUCUCUACACCUAGCGAAUAACCAUUUCAGUGGAGCCUUUCCUUUGGUUCUUAAGAAAAGCAAGAAACUUAUCACUCUAGAUCUGGGAGGCAAUAAUUUCUCAGGUGGGAUACCUUCUUGGAUAAGCAAGAGCUUGCCUGACCUAAGAUUUCUUUUACUGUCAUCAAACAUGUUUGAUGGCAUCAUACCAUCACAGAUAUUACAAUUUCGUCAACUCCAGCUAUUGGACCUGUCAAAAAACAAGUUCACUGGACGGAUUCCAUCCAAUUUUGGUAACUUUACUGGCAUGAUCCAAGAACAGAAAAAUGGGAACAGCACAUACUGCUACCUGCCAGCAGAGCAGCUUCGUAUAGUCCUGAAGAAUGAGGGUUAUCUUUACAACUUCACGAUAUCGUUCAUAGUGGGUAUGGACUUAUCUAGCAACUUCCUUUCACAAGAGAUCCCAAAAGGGCUCACAUCACUUGUUGGACUCAGGUACCUAAACUUGUCAAGAAACCAUCUCUCAGGUGGUAUUCCCGGAGACGUUGGCAAUCUGGCAUUGCUAGAAUCCUUGGACCUUUCGGAAAACCAACUCUCAGGGGAAAUUCCUCCAAGCCUUGCAGAUUUGAAGGCCCUCGGCACUCUGAACCUCUCGACCAACGGUUUAUCGGGGAGGAUACCUACAGGCAGCCAGCUGCAGACAUUCCCAGAUCCUUCAAUAUACAGCAAUAAUCCAGGGCUGUGCGGUUUCCCGCUGCAGGACUGUGUAAACCCAUCUGCAUCAAACCAGAAUGACAUGAAGCAGGAUGAAGAUAUGGAGACACUCUGGUUGUACUGCUUUGUGGUAGCAGGAGUCAUCUUUGGGUUUUGGCUAUACUGGGGCAUGCUCUUUUGCAAAGAGACAUGGAGGCAUGUGUUCUAUCAAUAUGUUGACAACAUGCAAGACAAGGUAAUUACCAAGAAAAUAGCUGCAUAUCGCGCCUCCAAGCUAAGGCAUGAAUAG